CGCGGCCCGGGAGCGGGAGGGCUGCAGUGGGGCUGGCGAGGAAGUGGCGGCGCUGCCCGGGGCGGAGAUGGGGACUGCGCCGUCCCUGACCCGGUCACCACCGGCCUGCACUCCGGGCCCGGGCUUGGCUCUUCCAUCGGCUUAGCCAUCACUUGGAGGUGGCAGAUGUGUGAUGGAGACACUAUGUUGGCGACGUCAGAGUUAACGAGGAGUGAAUUGGGGGCGCGAUGUUAGCUAAGUGCCCAGGCUUCAUUUGACCACGUGGACAAAGGAAAGCGCCCCCGAGAGACCAUCUCCCGAAGCAGAGGCUCUGGCUGUAAAUGGUGCUACUGGCCGGCCUGGCAGGGGCCAGCUCUCCCCAGAGGCUCAAGGGCUUCUCCAGGAGGCAUCUCGCAGUCAGUCCCCAGCCCACACCAAGGCUGUGCCCUUCCACUCCUCUUCCUUUCCUCGUCCCACCACCCACUCACUCACUAGUCUUUGCCCUCUUCCUUCCUCUCGGAAACGAAAGAGGCUCCUUUCCAUUAGUGAGAGCUGCAAUUAAUGCAGUCAUCUUCAGAAAGCAAACACAUAACCCCGUGCCCAGGAUCCGACCUGCGACCAUCACCCAGCAAUGACUGCUCCCCUUAAACACCGAGAAGGGAAUUCACUUGAUUCUAAUUAGGAAUCCCCCAGCCGUGUUUGAAGUCUGCAAGUCCAAACAGCAGACGUGGCUCAGGAUGGCAGAAUCCGACCACCCUCCACCUCCAUCUCCAGCAUUCUUCCAUUAUCGCCCGCUGGCUGCCAGAUCAAACAGAGCAAGACUGCUACAUGGAUUUCUUUCCCUUUCGUCUCUUCCUUUCACUCCAGGGCUCCCAGUUUUCUGAGUAACUUAAAUCAUCACUGAGAGAUGUGUAGGUUCACAGACCAAACCCUUUCAAAGCAAGGCGUGGGCACCCAAAAGUUGAGCUCAGAAAAGCACAGAAGAAAACUUUCCCAGUCCCAAGAUUUAGCCAAUCACACAUUCAGGGAAACAAUCAGCUACUUUGCCAGGUCUUACCUUCCUUUCCUGCCACCUCCUUGGGGCCUGGCUGGUCCCCAGGGUCCCAUUUCUGAAUUCUCUUUGGGCCUCAAGACUUCCAUAUGACCUUCACUGUGCUAUAGGCAGGUCCUGUCUCUUCAGUAAACCACCUGUUCUAUCUUACCCAUCAGCCAGUCACAGUGGCUCACACCUAUAAUCCCAGCACUUUGGGAGGCCAAGGCAGGAGGAUCACUUGAGUUCAGGAGUUCAAAACCAGCCUGGGCAACAUAGCAAGACCCUGCCUCUACAAAAAAAUUUAAAACCGGCCGGGUGUGGUGGCUCAUGCCUGUAAUCCCAGCACUUUGGGAGGCCAACGCGGGCAGAUCACGAGGUCAGGAGAUCGAGACCAUCCUGGCUAACACGGUGAAACCCUGUCUCUAUUAAAAAUAUGAAACAUUUGCUGGGCGAGGUGGGGGGCACUUGUAGUCCUAGCUACUCGGGAGGCUGAGGCGAGAGAAUGGCGUGAACCAGGGGGGCAGAGCCUGCAGUGAGCUGAGAUCACGGCACUGCACUCCAGCCUGGGCGACAGAGCGAGACUCCGUCUCAAAAAAAAAAAAAAAAAAAAAAUUAAAACCUAGCUAGGUGUGGUGGCAUGGGACCUGUAGUCCUAGCUACUUGGGAGGCUGAGGUGGGAGGAUCCCUUAAAAUAAAGAAGAAAAUCUUGCCCAUCUCUCUGAUGAAUGCUCUCUCCUCCACGAAGCCUUUCCUUAACUCUCCAACCCAAACGAACCACUCCUUCCUCUGAAUCCCUUUUUCCUUUUGACUUUGAAUUGUAUCUUCUAAGUUUUAUCUUCCUGAUACUAGAACGUACAUUCCUUGAAGGGAAGGAUUAUGGCUUAUUCAAUUCUGCAUCCUUCGCAAUGCACAACAUUGCACACUGUAGAAACUGAACAAAUGUCUGUUUAAUGAAAAACAGAGGAUGCCUCUCUUGAUAUGACACAAAGUCUAAUUACAUAGUUAUUACUCUCAG
This is a long non-coding RNA of Pongo pygmaeus (Bornean orangutan), 2027 nucleotides long. RefSeq lists it as uncharacterized. NCBI's taxonomy places the organism in Eukaryota, Metazoa, Chordata, Mammalia, Primates, Hominidae. The transcript has 4 exons. The record is from RefSeq and is a predicted model, not a curated record.